GAUGAACGCUGGCGGCGUGCCUAAUACAUGCAAGUCGAGCGAACAGACGAGGAGCUUGCUCCUCUGACGUUAGCGGCGGACGGGUGAGUAACACGUGGAUAACCUACCUAUAAGACUGGGAUAACUUCGGGAAACCGGAGCUAAUACCGGAUAAUAUAUUGAACCGCAUGGUUCAAUAGUGAAAGACGGUUUUGCUGUCACUUAUAGAUGGAUCCGCGCCGCAUUAGCUAGUUGGUAAGGUAACGGCUUACCAAGGCAACGAUGCGUAGCCGACCUGAGAGGGUGAUCGGCCACACUGGAACUGAGACACGGUCCAGACUCCUACGGGAGGCAGCAGUAGGGAAUCUUCCGCAAUGGGCGAAAGCCUGACGGAGCAACGCCGCGUGAGUGAUGAAGGUCUUCGGAUCGUAAAACUCUGUUAUUAGGGAAGAACAAAUGUGUAAGUAACUAUGCACUUCUUGACGGUACCUAGUCAGAAAGCCACGGCUAACUACGUG
RNAcentral lists this ribosomal RNA (497 nucleotides) under uncultured bacterium. RNAcentral's name for it is "partial 16S ribosomal RNA". It matches the Rfam family "Bacterial small subunit ribosomal RNA", at positions 28 to 507 of the family's 1533-position model. The record is from RNAcentral.